AACGAACGCUGGCGGCAUGCCUAACACAUGCAAGUCGAACGGGAUCCAGGCUUCGGCCUGGUGAGAGUGGCGGACGGGUGAGUAACACGUGGGAACCUGCCUUUUGGUUCGGGAUAACCGCGGGAAACUGCGGCUAAUACCGGAUGCUCCCGAGAGGGGAAAGAUUUAUCGCCAGAAGAGGGGCCCGCGUCCGAUUAGGUAGUUGGUGAGGUAAUGGCUCACCAAGCCGACGAUCGGUAGCUGGUCUGAGAGGAUGAUCAGCCACACUGGGACUGAGAUACGGCCCAGACUCCUACGGGAGGCAGCAGUGGGGAAUAUUGGGACAAUGGGGGCAACCCUGAUCCAGCAAUGCCGCGUGAGUGAUGAAGGCCUUAGGGUUGUAAAGCUCUUUUGCCAGGGAAGAUGAUGACUGUACCUGGAGAAUAAGCCCCGGCUAACUUCGUGCCAGCAGCCGCGGU
Molecule: ribosomal RNA, 458 nt
Filed under: uncultured bacterium
Lineage: Bacteria
Description: bacterial SSU rRNA
Rfam family: Bacterial small subunit ribosomal RNA
Source: RNAcentral